Molecule: non-coding RNA, 119 nt
Organism: Gossypium raimondii (Peruvian cotton)
Lineage: Eukaryota; Viridiplantae; Streptophyta; Magnoliopsida; Malvales; Malvaceae
Source: Rfam
GGGUGCGAUCAUACCAGCACUAAUGCACCGGAUCCCAUCAGAACUCCACAGUUAAGCGUGCUUGGGCGAGAGUAGUACUAGGAUGGGUGACCUCUUGGGAAGUCCUCGUGUUGCACCCC